RNAcentral lists this ribosomal RNA (253 nucleotides) under uncultured bacterium. RNAcentral describes it as "partial 16S ribosomal RNA". It matches the Rfam family "Bacterial small subunit ribosomal RNA", at positions 524 to 776 of the family's 1533-position model. The record is from RNAcentral.
UACGUAGGGGGCGAGCGUUGUCCGGAAUUAUUGGGCGUAAAGAGCGUGUAGGCGGUUCGGUAAGUCUGUCGUGAAAUCCUGGGGCUCAACCUCGGGCGUGCGAUGGAUACUGCCGGGCUAGAGGGUGGUAGAGGCGAGUGGAAUUCCCGGUGUAGCGGUGAAAUGCGCAGAUAUCGGGAGGAACACCAGUAGCGAAGGCGGCUCGCUGGGCCACACCUGACGCUGAGACGCGAAAGCUAGGGGAGCGAACAGG